RNAcentral lists this ribosomal RNA (67 nucleotides) under Escherichia coli. RNAcentral's name for it is "partial 23S ribosomal RNA". The record is from RNAcentral. Lineage: Bacteria; Pseudomonadati; Pseudomonadota; Gammaproteobacteria; Enterobacterales; Enterobacteriaceae.
GGGUUGUGAGGUUAAGCAACUAAGCGUACACGGUGGAUGCCCUGGCAGUCAGAGGCGAUGAAGGACG